Molecule: ribosomal RNA, 438 nt
Filed under: uncultured bacterium
Lineage: Bacteria
Description: partial 16S ribosomal RNA
Rfam family: Bacterial small subunit ribosomal RNA
Source: RNAcentral
CUACGGGACGCAGCAGUGAGGAAUAUUGCACAAUGGGGGAACCCUGGUGCAGCAACGCCGCGUGGAGGAUGACGCAUUUCGGUGUGUAAACUCCUUUUAUAUGUCAAGAAAAUGACGGUAGCAUAUGAAUAAGCACCGGCUAACUCCGUGCCAGCAGCCGCGGUAAUACGGAGGGUGCAAGCGUUACUCGGAAUCACUGGGCGUAAAGGACGCGUAGGCGGGUUGGAAAGUCAGGUGUGAAAUCCUACAGCUUAACUGUAGAACUGCACUUGAAACUUCUAAUCUAGAGUAUGGGAGGGGGAGAUGGAAUUAGUGGUGUAGGGGUAAAAUCCGUAGAUAUCACUAGGAAUACCUAAAGCGAAGGCGAUCUCCUGGAACAUUACUGACGCUAAGGCGUGAAAGCGUGGGGAGCAAACAGGAUUAGAUACCCCAGUAGUC